RNAcentral lists this unclassified non-coding RNA (350 nucleotides) under soil metagenome. Its description in RNAcentral is "partial contains 5.8S ribosomal RNA, internal transcribed spacer 2, and large subunit ribosomal RNA". The stretch from base 1 to 122 matches the Rfam family "5.8S ribosomal RNA", at positions 35 to 154 of the family's 154-position model. The record is from RNAcentral.
GAUGAAGAACGCCAGCGAAAUGCGAUAAGUAAUGCGAAUUGCAGAAUUCCAGUGAGUCAUCGAAUCUUUGAACGCACAUUGCGCCCGCCAGUAUUCUGGCGGGCAUGCCUGUCUGAGCGUCAUUUCAACCCUCAUGCCCCUAGGGCGUGGUGUUGGGGAUCGGCCAAAGCCCGCGAGGGACGGCCGGCCCCUAAAUCUAGUGGCGGACCCGUCGUGGCCUCCUCUGCGAAGUAGUGAUAUUCCGCAUCGGAGAGCGAUGAGCCCCUGCCGUUAAACCCCCAACUUUCCAAGGUUGACCUCAGAUCAGGUAGGAAUACCCGCUGAACUUAAGCAUAUCAAUAAGCGGAGGA